CCUACGGGAGGCAGCAGUGGGGAAUUUUGGACAAUGGGCGCAAGCCUGAUCCAGCAAUGCCGCGUGAGUGAAGAAGGCCUUCGGGUUGUAAAGCUCUUUUGUCAGGGAAGAAACGGUGGGGGCUAAUAUCUCCUGCUAAUGACGGUACCUGAAGAAUAAGCACCGGCUAACUACGUGCCAGCAGCCGCGGUAAUACGUAGGGUGCAAGCGUUAAUCGGAAUUACUGGGCGUAAAGCGUGCGCAGGCGGUUUUGUAAGUUUGUCGUGAAAUCCCCGGGCUCAACCUGGGAAUGGCGAUGAAGACUGCAAGGCUAGAAUCUGGCAGAGGGGGGUAGAAUUCCACGUGUAGCAGUGAAAUGCGUAGAGAUGUGGAGGAACACCGAUGGCGAAGGCAGCCCCCUGGGUCAAGAUUGACGCUCAUGCACGAAAGCGUGGGGAGCAAACAGGAUUAGAUACCCUGGUAGUCCACGCCCUAAACGAUGUCUACUAGUUGUCGGGUUUUAAUUAACUUGGUAACGCAGCUAACGCGUGAAGUAGACCGCCUGGGGAUACGGUCGCAAGAUUAAAACUCAAAUGAAUUGACCGGNUGAGACGAGCGAGACGACGACGAGGGAGGAGG
This 618-nucleotide ribosomal RNA is filed under the name uncultured bacterium. RNAcentral's name for it is "bacterial SSU rRNA". It matches the Rfam family "Bacterial small subunit ribosomal RNA", at positions 338 to 951 of the family's 1533-position model. The record is from RNAcentral.